UACGUAGGGCGCAAGCGUUUAUCCGGAAUUAUUGGGCGUAAAGAGCUCGUAGGCGGUUUGUCGCGUCUGCCCGUGAAAGUCCGGGGCUCAACUCCGGAUCUGCGGUGGGUACGGGCAGACUAGAGUGAUGUAGGGGAGACUGGAAUUCCUGGUGUAGCGGUGAAAUGCGCAGAUAUCAGGAGGAACACCGAUGGCGAAGGCAGGUCUCUGGGCAUUAACUGACGCUGAGGAGCGAAAGCAUGGGGAGCGAACAGG
This 255-nucleotide ribosomal RNA is filed under the name uncultured bacterium. RNAcentral describes it as "partial 16S ribosomal RNA". It matches the Rfam family "Bacterial small subunit ribosomal RNA", at positions 524 to 776 of the family's 1533-position model. The record is from RNAcentral.